AUUGAACGCUGGCGGCAGGCCUAACACAUGCAAGUCGAGCGAGCGGCGGACGGGUGAGUAAUGUAUGGGGACUGCCCGAUAGAGGGGGAUACCUACUGGAAACGGUGGCUAAUACCGCAUACUAUCGGAUAACCCAUAGGGGAUUAGCUAGUCGGUGGGGUAACGGCUCACCUAGGCGACGAUCUCUAGCUGGUCUGCGAGGAAGAUCAGCCACACGUGGACUGAGAAACGGACCAGACUCCAAGGGAGGCAGCAGUGGGGAAUAUUGCACAAGGGGCGCAAGCCUGAUGCAGCGAUGCCGCGUGUAUGAAGAAGGCCUUAGGGUUGUAAAGUGCUUGCAGCGGGGAAGCGUUACCCGCAGAAGAAGCACCGGCUAACUCCGUGCCAGGAGCCGCGGUAAUUC
RNAcentral lists this ribosomal RNA (403 nucleotides) under uncultured bacterium. RNAcentral's name for it is "partial 16S ribosomal RNA". It matches the Rfam family "Bacterial small subunit ribosomal RNA", at positions 29 to 526 of the family's 1533-position model. The record is from RNAcentral.